RNAcentral lists this ribosomal RNA (492 nucleotides) under Triticum aestivum (bread wheat). RNAcentral's name for it is "partial small subunit ribosomal RNA". The record is from RNAcentral. Lineage: Eukaryota; Viridiplantae; Streptophyta; Magnoliopsida; Poales; Poaceae.
AUGUCGUUUUAUCGACGGGUGGCGGCCAUCAAGUCGGAUGCAGGAGUGAUCAUGGGCGCGCUCAUCAUGCAUGAGAUACGUGCUUGCGUAACCACGCAGAGGGACGACAUGCUACAGCUAGCAAGGCCAUGGUCGGAGUUCGCGCUUUCCGUUCCGAAAGAGUCCAGGCAGCUCUACCAGGCGGUGGCGAGAGCUAAUGUUGGGGAUGGCCGCAACACGUUAUUCUGGGAGGAUUGUUGGCUCAAUGGGUACCGUAUACAAGAGCUAGCGCCGCGGGCAUACGGCAUGGUGACACAACGGACGAGGAGAUCGAGAUCCGUGUUUGAAGCCAUAGUGCAGGGCAGAUGGGCUACGGACAUCGGACCCGCUAUCGACGCGGAAGGCCUUGCAGAAUACAUGAGCAUCUGGCCCGCGGUGGCGGCGAAAAAAGAUGGGACAAAAUGCUACAAGGUCGAUCGGAACUUGAUUAAAUCUCGGUCAACUGAGUUUUAG